AGAAUCAACGCUGGCGGCGUGCCUAACACAUGCAAGUCGAACGAGAAAGUGGAGCAAUCCAUGAGUAAAGUGGCGCACGGGUGAGUAACACGUGACUAACCUACCUUUUAGUGGGGGAUAACCUAGGGAAACCUGGGCUAAUACCGCAUAAUACCUACGGGUCAAAGCAGCAAUGCGCUGAAAGAGGGGGUCGCGGUCGAUUAGUUAGUUGGCAGGGUAAUGGCCUACCAAGACUGUGAUCGAUAUCCGGCCUGAGAGGGCGCACGGACACACUGGAACUGAAACACGGUCCAGACUCCUACGGGAGGCAGCAGUGGGGAAUUUUGCGCAAUGGGGGAAACCCUGACGCAGCAACGCCGCGUGGAGGAUGAAGUCCCUUGGGACGUAAACUCUUUCGAUCGGGACGAUAAUGACGGUACCGGAAGAAGAAGCCCGGCUAACUCGCGCCAGCAGCCGC
Molecule: ribosomal RNA, 457 nt
Filed under: uncultured bacterium
Lineage: Bacteria
Description: SSU rRNA
Rfam family: Bacterial small subunit ribosomal RNA
Source: RNAcentral